GACGAACGCUGGCGGCGUGCCUAAUACAUGCAAGUUGAGCGAUGAAGAUUGGUGCUUGCACCAAUUUGAAGAGCAGCGAACGGGUGAGUAACGCGUGGGGAAUCUGCCUUUGAGCGGGGGACAACAUUUGGAAACGAAUGCUAAUACCGCAUAACAACUUUAAACAUAAGUUUUAAGUUUGAAAGAUGCAAUUGCCUCACUCAAAGAUGAUCCCGCGUUGUAUUAGCUAGUUGGUGAGGUAAAGGCUCACCAAGGCGAUGAUACAUAGCCGACCUGAGAGGGUUGUCGGCCAAAUCGGGACCGGGACACGGCCCCAACUCCUACGGGAGGCAGCAGGAGGGAAUCUUCGGCCAUGGACGGAAGUCUGACCGCGCAACGCCGCGGGAGGGAAGAAGGGUUUCGGAUCGGUAAACUCUGUUGGUAGAGAAGAACGUUGGUGAGAGUGGAAAGCUCAUCAAGUGACGGUAACUACCCAGAAAGGGACGGCUAACUACGUG
RNAcentral lists this ribosomal RNA (497 nucleotides) under uncultured bacterium. RNAcentral describes it as "partial 16S ribosomal RNA". It matches the Rfam family "Bacterial small subunit ribosomal RNA", at positions 28 to 507 of the family's 1533-position model. The record is from RNAcentral.